GGGGAAUAUUGGACAAUGGGCGCAAGCCUGAUCCAGCAAUGCCGCGUGGGUGAAGACGGCCUGCGGGUUGUAAAGCCCUUUAGGCGGGGAGGAACGGCGUCGUGCGAACAGUGCGGCGCUCUGACGUUACCCGCAGAAUAAGCACCGGCUAACUCCGUGCCAGCAGCCGCGGUAAUACGGAGGGUGCGAGCGUUAAUCGGAAUUACUGGGCGUAAAGCGUGCGUAGGCGGAUGGGUCAGGCAGCCGUGAAAGCCCGGGGCUCAACCUGGGAACGGCGGUUGAGACGGCCCGUCUCGAGUGGGCUAGAGGAUCGUGGAAUUCCGGGUGUAGCGGUGAAAUGCGUAGAGAUCCGGAGGAACACCGAUGGCGAAGGCAGCGGUCUGGGGCCACACUGACGCUGAGGCACGAAAGCGUGGGGAGCAAAC
RNAcentral lists this ribosomal RNA (425 nucleotides) under uncultured bacterium. RNAcentral describes it as "bacterial SSU rRNA". It matches the Rfam family "Bacterial small subunit ribosomal RNA", at positions 356 to 773 of the family's 1533-position model. The record is from RNAcentral.